This 273-nucleotide ribosomal RNA is filed under the name uncultured bacterium. RNAcentral's name for it is "partial 16S ribosomal RNA". It matches the Rfam family "Bacterial small subunit ribosomal RNA", at positions 524 to 796 of the family's 1533-position model. The record is from RNAcentral.
UACGGAGGGUCCGAGCGUUAUCCGGAAUCAUUGGGUUUAAAGGGUCCGUAGGCGGGCCUGUAAGUCAGGGGUGAAAGUUUGUGGCUCAACCAUAAAAUUGCCUUUGAUACUGCAGGUCUUGAGUCAUGGUGGGGUUGCCGGAACAUGUGGUGUAGCGGUGAAAUGCAUAGAUAUCACAUAGAACACCGAUCGCGAAGGCAGGUGACCAACCAUGUACUGACGCUGAUGGACGAAAGCGUGGGUAGCGAACGGGAUUAGAUACCCCUGUAGUCC